This 250-nucleotide ribosomal RNA is filed under the name Vibrio cholerae. Its description in RNAcentral is "partial 16S ribosomal RNA". It matches the Rfam family "Bacterial small subunit ribosomal RNA", at positions 454 to 703 of the family's 1533-position model. Lineage: Bacteria; Pseudomonadati; Pseudomonadota; Gammaproteobacteria; Vibrionales; Vibrionaceae. The record is from RNAcentral.
UAAUACCUUAAUCAUUUGACGUUACCUACAGAAGAAGCACCGGCUAACUCCGUGCCAGCAGCCGCGGUAAUACGGAGGGUGCAAGCGUUAAUCGGAAUUACUGGGCGUAAAGCGCAUGCAGGUGGUUUGUUAAGUCAGAUGUGAAAGCCCUGGGCUCAACCUAGGAAUCGCAUUUGAAACUGACAAGCUAGAGUACUGUAGAGGGGGGUAGAAUUUCAGGUGUAGCGGUGAAAUGCGUAGAGAUCUGAAG